Molecule: ribosomal RNA, 433 nt
Filed under: uncultured bacterium
Lineage: Bacteria
Description: partial 16S ribosomal RNA
Rfam family: Bacterial small subunit ribosomal RNA
Source: RNAcentral
AGCGAACGCUGGCGGCAGGCUUAACACAUGCAAGUCGAGCGGGCCCUUCGGGGUCAGCGGCAGACGGGUGAGUAACACGUGGGAACGUACCCUUUGGUUCGGAAUAACGCUGGGAAACUAGCGCUAAUACCGGAUACGCCCUUUUGGGGAAAGGCUUGCUGCCGAAGGAUCGGCCCGCGUCUGAUUAGCUAGUUGGUGGGGUGAUGGCCUACCAAGGCGACGAUCAGUAGCUGGUCUGAGAGGAUGAUCAGCCACACUGGGACUGAGACACGGCCCAGACUCCUACGGGAAGCAGCAGUGGGGAAUAUUGGACAAUGGGCGCAAGCCUGAUCCAGCCAUGCCGCGUGAGUGAUGAAGGCCUUAGGGUUGUAAAGCUCUUUUGUCCGGGACGAUAAUGACGGUACCGGAAGAAUAAGCCCCGGCUAACUUCGUG